UACGGGGGGGGCAAGCGUUGUUCGGAAUUACUGGGCGUAAAGGGCUCGUAGGCGGCCAACUAAGUCAGACGUGAAAUCCCUCGGCUUAACCGGGGAACUGCAUCUGAUACUGGAUGGCUUGAGUUCGGGAGAGGGAUGCGGAAUUCCAGGUGUAGCGGUGAAAUGCGUAGAUAUCUGGAGGAAUACCGGUGGCGAAGGCGGCAUCCUGGACCGACAUUGACGCUGAUGAGCGAAAGCUAGGGGAGCAAACGGG
RNAcentral lists this ribosomal RNA (253 nucleotides) under uncultured bacterium. RNAcentral's name for it is "partial 16S ribosomal RNA". It matches the Rfam family "Bacterial small subunit ribosomal RNA", at positions 524 to 776 of the family's 1533-position model. The record is from RNAcentral.